CCGAAGUCGUUGAUGCUCUCAAGUCUCAACUACCUAUUUUAUGAAGGAAUGGAAAAUUUUCCUUUAUGAUUAGAAAACUACCAAUGGAUCCUUCUGAGCCUUCA
Molecule: small nucleolar RNA, 104 nt
Organism: Medicago truncatula (barrel medic)
Lineage: Eukaryota; Viridiplantae; Streptophyta; Magnoliopsida; Fabales; Fabaceae
Source: Rfam